AUCAGGGAUCUUGCACAAUGAGCGAAAGCUAGAUGCAGCGAUGCCGCGUGGAUGAGGAAGUCCUUCGGGAUGUAAAGUCCUUUUAAACGGGAAGAUGAUGACGGUACCGUUUGAAUAAGCCCCGGCUAACUACGUGCCAGCAGCCGCGGUAAUACGUAGGGGGCGAGCGUUGUCCGGAAUUAUUGGGCGUAAAGCGCGUGCAGGCGGUUGUUUAAGUUCGUGGUGAAAGACCGGGGCUCAACCCCGGAGUGUCCGCGAAGACUGGACGACUGGAGUGUCGGAGAGGAGUGCGGAAUACCUGGUGUAGCGGUGGAAUGCGUAGAGAUCAGGUGGAACACCGAUGGCGAAGGCAGCACUCUGGCCGAAUACUGACGCUGAGACGCGAAAGCGUGGGGAGCGAACGG
This 404-nucleotide ribosomal RNA is filed under the name uncultured bacterium. Its description in RNAcentral is "bacterial SSU rRNA". It matches the Rfam family "Bacterial small subunit ribosomal RNA", at positions 354 to 775 of the family's 1533-position model. The record is from RNAcentral.